RNAcentral lists this ribosomal RNA (963 nucleotides) under Klebsiella sp. ME15. RNAcentral describes it as "bacterial SSU rRNA". It matches the Rfam family "Bacterial small subunit ribosomal RNA", at positions 45 to 996 of the family's 1533-position model. The record is from RNAcentral. Lineage: Bacteria; Pseudomonadati; Pseudomonadota; Gammaproteobacteria; Enterobacterales; Enterobacteriaceae.
GGCCUAACACAUGCAAGUCGAGCGGUAGCACAGAGAGCUUGCUCUCGGGUGACGAGCGGCGGACGGGUGAGUAAUGUCUGGGAAACUGCCUGAUGGAGGGGGAUAACUACUGGAAACGGUAGCUAAUACCGCAUAAUGUCGCAAGACCAAAGUGGGGGACCUUCGGGCCUCAUGCCAUCAGAUGUGCCCAGAUGGGAUUAGCUAGUAGGUGGGGUAACGGCUCACCUAGGCGACGAUCCCUAGCUGGUCUGAGAGGAUGACCAGCCACACUGGAACUGAGACACGGUCCAGACUCCUACGGGAGGCAGCAGUGGGGAAUAUUGCACAAUGGGCGCAAGCCUGAUGCAGCCAUGCCGCGUGUGUGAAGAAGGCCUUCGGGUUGUAAAGCACUUUCAGCGGGGAGGAAGGCGAUAAGGUUAAUAACCUUGGCGAUUGACGUUACCCGCAGAAGAAGCACCGGCUAACUCCGUGCCAGCAGCCGCGGUAAUACGGAGGGUGCAAGCGUUAAUCGGAAUUACUGGGCGUAAAGCGCACGCAGGCGGUCUGUCAAGUCGGAUGUGAAAUCCCCGGGCUCAACCUGGGAACUGCAUUCGAAACUGGCAGGCUAGAGUCUUGUAGAGGGGGGUAGAAUUCCAGGUGUAGCGGUGAAAUGCGUAGAGAUCUGGAGGAAUACCGGUGGCGAAGGCGGCCCCCUGGACAAAGACUGACGCUCAGGUGCGAAAGCGUGGGGAGCAAACAGGAUUAGAUACCCUGGUAGUCCACGCCGUAAACGAUGUCGAUUUGGAGGUUGUGCCCUUGAGGCGUGGCUUCGGGAGCUAACGCGUUAAAUCGACCGCCUGGGGGAGUACGGGCCGCAAGGUUAAAACUCAAAUGAAUUGACGGGGGCCCGCCCAAGCGGGGGAGCAUGUGGUUUAAUUCGAUGCAACGCGAAAAACCUUACCUGGGCCUUGACAUCCAAAGAAA